RNAcentral lists this long non-coding RNA (1185 nucleotides) under Piliocolobus tephrosceles (Ugandan red Colobus). RNAcentral's name for it is "lncRNA (ENSPTEG00000010067.1)". Lineage: Eukaryota; Metazoa; Chordata; Mammalia; Primates; Cercopithecidae. The record is from RNAcentral.
UAAAAAUAUAGACAACACUAUUCCACAUUUACAUAACAUUUUUGAUUAUACAAUAAAUAAAAAUAAUUUCACUUGGGUAUUGUGGGAUGAUUUAAUUACAACUAAUAGCAGCUUAUUACCCGAUGUUAAAAAACGUUUUUUUUAUUCUUUUGAAAAGUAUGUGAAUAAUAAAAAUGAUAUAAUGAUGAUGCCAAUGAUGGGUAGUGGUGGAUCUGGAGGUGGAUUUGGUGGUGGAUCUUGUGCAAAUAACGAUACCUCCUAUGUCUCAAAAUAUGCCAGCACACAUACAACUGAAACCAUAAAUCAAGAUUCAAAUUUUGUUAAAAGCAGCUUACUUAGUACAGCACAAUUUAGUAAAGCUUACCAAAAAUAUACAAUCAAUUAUAACAACUUAUUCAGCUCAACAAACACGAAUAGUAAUAAAGGGACAAUGAAUUCAUAUCAAGCACGUACUUCUAACUUUAUGUCGUCCCAGUUAAGUACUACUUCAGAUGAAGUGGCCAGAUUAAAUAAUGGUUAUAAUAUGUAUAGUAAUGAUAUAUCUCAAAAUAAUGAAUAUUCAAUGGGUUAUAAUUAUAAUGAUACUAGUGGGACUAGUAUGGGUGGUAGUACGAUGUCUAAUUUGUAUAGUUACCAAAUGGGUGAUAGCAAAAACGAUAUGUUUGAUGGUUACCAAAAUUUUGCGAACGAUUCAAAAUUUACUGACCUUAUUUGGUUUGGUAUAAAUAACAAAUAUAAUGAUGGUCGAACAAAUAAACCUGAUAUUUCUGUUGACAUGGAUGAUUACAACAAGUAUAGCACAUGCUAUCAAGAUCGUUAUGAAAAUGAUCAUAACACACAUGAAAUGAUAAAAGAGACUAGUGCCAACCGACUGCAAUAUCAAAAUGACCCACUUGGACCACAGAGCUCGUAUAUUACCAACAGUAAUGAUAAAAACAUAAACCAAAUCGAGGGCGUAAAAAACCUUUCUUUAAACAAUAUCUAUGGAAAAGAAAAAAAUAAAAUAACAAAUAUGUCGGACGACGAUAAAAUGAAAGAAAAAGAGGAAAAAUAUUUUCCCAAUAAAUUUGAUAAUAAUAUAUACAUAGAAAAUGUUGAAUCCUUACGAAAAAAAUAUAUGAUUAACAUUUUGAUAUAUAAUAAAAAAAAUAUAUUAUUAUUUGGCAGUAAAUAUAGUGGAAAAAC